Molecule: long non-coding RNA, 372 nt
Filed under: Serinus canaria (Common canary)
Lineage: Eukaryota; Metazoa; Chordata; Aves; Passeriformes; Fringillidae
Description: lncRNA (ENSSCAG00000012258.1)
Source: RNAcentral
AUGCUAGAAAUGAAAAGGUUCAGAGAACUGACACCAAGGAAAGGCCCAAAGCUGCACUCUGCUCCUGACAGCUUCUCUUUACACCACCGUUUUUCCUCUGAGCAUGUUCCAGUGUCUCUGCACUCCCAGUCCUCCUGCAGCAGCUGGGGCCAGCCAAAGAAGGCUAUCGUAGCCUGGCGUUCCUUCUGGGAGCUUCUCACAGCACAAGCAACCUCCUUUCCAGCAGAUCACAGGUGUUCUCCACAUGAUGUGAGCAGUCUGGGAGAGGAAAUUCUGCAAUUCCACUCUGGACUCAGGAAAGGGAGGUUGUACCAAGUUUUCUGUGCUGAGAGAAAAUACAAAAGGCUCCCCUUUGCAAUCAUGCCUGAUUGA